Molecule: ribosomal RNA, 2907 nt
Filed under: Gammaproteobacteria bacterium
Lineage: Bacteria; Pseudomonadati; Pseudomonadota; Gammaproteobacteria
Description: bacterial LSU rRNA
Rfam family: Bacterial large subunit ribosomal RNA
Source: RNAcentral
UCAAGUGAAUAAGCGCACAUGGUGGAUGCCUUGGCGACAGAAGGCGAUGAAGGACGUGGUAGCCUGCGAUAAGCUUCGGGGAGCCGGCAAAUAUGCUUUGAUCCGAAGAUUUCCGAAUGGGGAAACCCACCGCUUAGGCGGUACCUUUAGCUGAAUACAUAGGCUACUGGAGCGAACCCGGUGAAUUGAAACAUCUCAGUAACCGGAGGAAUAGAAAUCAACCGAGAUUCCGUUAGUAGUGGCGAGCGAACGCGGAACAGCCCAGUGCUCAUAAUUGCGUAAGUCUUAGUGGAACAGUCUGGAAAGUCUGGCCAUAGCGGGUGAUAGCCCCGUACAUGAAAAGACGAGCGCAUGGAGCACAAAGAGUAGGGCGGGACACGUGCAAUCCUGCCUGAACAUAGGGGGACCAUCCUCUAAGGCUAAAUACUCUCUGUCGACCGAUAGUGAACAAGUACCGUGAGGGAAAGGCGAAAAGAACCCCGGAGAGGGGAGUGAAAUAGAACCUGAAACCGUGUGCGUACAAGCAGUGGGAGCUCCGUAAGGAGUGACUGCGUACCUUUUGUAUAAUGGGUCAGCGAGUUACUUUCAGUGGCAAGGCUAACCGAAUAGGGGAGCCGUAGGGAAACCGAGUCUUAAUCGGGCGUUUCAGUCGCUGGGAGUAGACCCGAAGCCAGUCGAUCUAUCCAUGUCCAGGGUGAAAGUAGGGUAACACCUACCGGAGGCCCGAACGAACCACUGUUGCAAUAGUGCGUCGAUGAGGUGUGGAUAGGAGUGAAAGGCUAAUCAAGGCUGGCGAUAGCUGGUUCUCCCCGAAAGCUAUUUAGGUAGUGCCUCGUGUCAUUCACCCCUGGGGGUAGAGCACUGUUUAGACUAGGGGAACAUCCCGUUCUACCAAAUCUAUGCAAACUCCGAAUACCAGGGAGUGUUAUCACGGGAGACACACAGCGGGUGCUAACGUCCGUUGUGAAGAGGGAAAUAACCCAGACCAUCAGCUAAGGUCCCAAAGUUUUGGCUAAGUGGUAAACGAUGUGGGAAGGCUAAAACAGCUAGGAGGUUGGCUUAGAAGCAGCCAUCCUUUAAAGAAAGCGUAAUAGCUCACUAGUCUAGUCGGCCUGCGCGGAAGAUUUAACGGGGCUUAAGCCAAGCACCGAAGCUAUGGGUGUAACGAUCUUCGGAUCAAUACGCGGUAGGGGAGCGUUCUGUACGCCUGCGAAGGUGAACUGUGAGGUUUGCUGGAGGUAUCAGAAGUGCGAAUGCUGACAUGAGUAACGUUAAUGCGGGUGAAAAACCCGCACGCCGAAAACCCAAGGUUUCCUGAGCUAUGUUAAUCAGCUGAGGGUGAGUCGGAUCCUAAGGCGAGACCGAAAGGUGUAGUCGAUGGAAAGCAGGUUAAUAUUCCUGCACCGAUUAUUACUGCGAUGGGGUGACGGAGAAGGCUAGAUGAUCCGGGAUUGGCUCUCGGUUCAAGCUCGUAGGGAGAGAUUCCAGGUAAAUCCGGAGUCUCGUUAAUCCCGAGAAGUGAGUACGAGGUUUCUUCGGAGACCGAAGUCAUUGACGCCACGCUUCCAGGAAAAGCCUCUAAGCUUCAGGUAAUAGUCGUCCGUACCGCAAACCGACACUGGUGGGUAGGAAGAAAAUUCUAAGGCGCUUGAGAGAACUCGGGUUAAGGAACUCUGCAAUUUGACACCGUAACUUCGGGAGAAGGUGUGCCUUUGUUUGUGAUGGGAUUUACUCCCUGAGCAGAUAGAGGUCUCAGAUAAUCGGGGGCUGCGACUGUUUACCAAAAACACAGGACUCUGCGAACACGAAAGUGGAAGUAUAGGGUCUGACGCCUGCCCGGUGCCGGAAGGUUAAUUGAUGGGGUCAGCCGCAAGGCGAAGCUCUUGAUCGAAGCCCCGGUAAACGGCGGCCGUAACUAUAACGGUCCUAAGGUAGCGAAAUUCCUUGUCGGGUAAGUUCCGACCUGCACGAAUGGCGUAACGCUGGCCCCACUGUCUCGACCCGAGACUCAGUGAACUUGAAAUCGCUGUGAAGAUGCGGCGUAGCUGCGGAAAGACGGAAAGACCCCGUGAACCUUUACUAUAGCUUUACACUGAACUUUGAAUUUGUUUGUGUAGGAUAGCUGGGAGCCUACGAAGUGGGGACGCUAGUCUUCAUGGAGGCAACCUUGAAAUACCAGCCUGACACAUUCGCAGUUCUAACCUUGGCCCAUUAUCUGGGUCGGGGACAGUGUAUGGUGGGUAGUUUGACUGGGGCGGUCUCCUCCCAAAGAGUAACGGAGGAGUGCAAAGGUACCCUCAGCGCGGUCGGUCAUCGCGCAUAGAGUGCAAUCGCAUAAGGGUGCUUAACUGUGAGACGGACAUGUCGAACAGGUACGAAAGUAGGUGAUAGUGAUCCGGUGGUUCUGUAUGGAAGGGCCAUCGCUCAACGGAUAAAAGGUACUCCGGGGAUAACAGGCUUAUUCCUCCCAAGAGUCCACAUCGACGGAGGAGUUUGGCACCUCGAUGUCGGCUCAUCACAUCCUGGGGCUGUAGCAGGUCCCAAGGGUAUGGCUGUUCGCCAUUUAAAGUGGUACGCGAGCUGGGUUCAGAACGUCGUGAGACAGUUCGGUCCCUAUCUUCCGUAGCCGUUGGAGAUUUGAGGGUGAGUUGCUCCUAGUACGAGAGGACCGGAGUGAACGUAUCUCUGGUGUUCCGGUUGUCACGCCAGUGGCACUGCCGGGUAGCUAUAUACGGACGGGAUAACCGCUGAAAGCAUCUAAGCGGGAAGCCCCCCCCAAGAUUAGAUCUCCCUAGACCUUUAAGGUCUCUAAAGGGCCGUCGAAGACUACGACGUUGAUAGGCUAGGUGUGUACGCACAGUAAUGUGCUCAGCUAACUAGUACUAAUUGCCCGUGAGGCUUGACCAU